UGACCUGGUGGAAAUCCCAGAAGAGACUCUGGGGAGCUUUCCAGAGAAGAGGCACUGGUUCUUCAUGCAGUAGCUCAACCAAGUGUUCAUCGAGAGACUUCCACACUUCCAGACCUGGAGCCCGUGGGUACUGGGUCUAAUUUCUCUCUACAGCUUAGAGGUCUCCUGUUCCUGUGUGCAGCAGCACCUGAGAUGGGAAGUUCACGUGAGCUCAGACCACCUUUCUGCAGCUGGGAGUGCAGAAAGCCACUGGAGGACCCAUUGACCAGAGGGAUGAGAGCCAGUGGAUAAUCUAGAAGGCUUGAGACCUCUUCUCCAGAAGGCCUGCAAGAAGCCAGCUCCCACCCUGGAGAACAACACUUUCUUUCACUCCUUGCUUUUUUGCCUCCUUUUCCUCCCUCCUUCCAUUUUUUUUCUUUACUUUUUAAUUUUUUUUUAAUAUUUUUUAGUUGUUGAUGGACCUUUAUUUAUUUGUAUGUGGUGCUGAGAAUCGAACCCAGUGCCUCACGCAUGCUAGGCAAGCGCGCUAUCACUGAGCCACAUCCCCAGCCCUCUUUUUUUACUUUUUUUACUUUUUUUUUGCUUUGUUUUGUUUUGGGGAUUGAACCCCAGGCUGCCGACCUACUGAGCUACAUCACUAGCCCUUCUUUUUUAAACAGGGUCUCACUAAGUUCCUUAGGACCUCACUAAACUGUUUAGGGCCUCACUAAGCUGCUGAGGCUGGCCUUGAACUUGCAAUACUUCCUGCCUCAGCCUCCCGACUCACUAGGAUUACAGGCAUGCACUGCUUCUCCUGGCUUUCCUUACAUUUUCUAGAAUCACCUUCAGGUUCACCCUUCAUGCACAUGCUUUUGCCUCUGGCUCUGCUUUCUGGAGAACCCAAGCUGUCAUUUGAUAUUUCAGAAUCUAAUUUUCCAUCUCUACAAAAAAAAAAAGAAAAAAAAACCAGGACUUCUGGACCCUGUGCCUCGGCUGUCUGGAAGGAAGGGGAAACUCUGGUGACUAAUCAAGUCCAGUGACAAGCUCUUUGGAGAGCAGCUCCACUUCCACAUCAAAUGUUCCUUCCAGAACCUGAGAGCAGUUUCAGAAGAAAGAGCCAAGUCCUUCCAGCUACUCCUGCUGAAGCUUCUUAUCCAAGGCAACAUUAUCCGGCUCCUCCCCAAGGACAUGCUCAGAGUCCUCUGCCUGUCCGGUCCUGAGGUCUCAUGGGUGUGAAGCUAUGUGCCCUUGGCUGCAUAGUUCCAAUUAACAUCUGGACAUCCCUGUCUGGGAUGGAUUUCUUCUUCUCAAAAGAGCAUCCUCCAGGCACCAGAGACCUCACUGGCUCCUUAGUUCCUUGGUUUCCCUAUAAAUGUCAAACCAUCCCUUCUGUGGAACCCAGCAAUGUCUUUGAAGUGGCCAUGGCCAUGAACAGCCCAAUAUUAUUUCACCAGGGGCUAAGAGGCUGCAGAAACCAUCCGGGGACCUCAGCCUCCUUGCACUCCAGCGACUCCCAUCCUAGUGGGGAGAUGCCUACCCAGCCUUGGAAGGCAAGGAGGGCAACUGCUGAAAGCCAGAGGCCCAGAAACAUGGAGAACUAUGUGAGGAUGGUUCCUCUCCCCGAAAGAGUCAGGGGGAAUCCUCCCUCUCUGUGCUGGCCAGGAAGGAGAAGCCAAGAGUCCGAACUCCCAGGCAGUUUCCAUCUGGACCAGUUUCUUUCUAGGCAUAGAGCUUCAGCCAAAGAAAGUAGGGGGUGAGGAGGAGGCCUGAGCCACCAAUCCUGCCCCUGGGUGCUCUGUGUGUGGUCUCCUCUGGUCCUUGGUUUUCCAUCUACAACUAGGGUGAAGGCUACUCUGAAAAUCACAGAAGCUUGCAAUGAGCAGAGGCUUCAAGGGCUGCUAGCACAGGCUCCUCCAUGUGCCCGAGGCCAAGAGUCUCACUCGACUGGAUGAUGGUUGACUAUAACAGCUGGCCUUGGUGCUCCUACCGAGGAGCAAGUCCAACCAUGGCUGGUCCAGAUUUCUCCUGUCCAGGAUCCUGUUAGUCCUCUACCUAUCGUGUCAUCCAGCAUUCCCAGGUCACAACCAGAAAAUGAUUUCAUGGCCCUCUCAGGUAUGCAGGUCCAUCCAACCCAAGGGACAGCACUAUUACAGAUAGACCUCCGUAAGAAGUUAUUCCCAUGGCAAAAGUGAGGAGUGCUCUUAGAGUAGUCAUUCAACUCCUGAUCAUGAACCACUGGAAGCAAUAAAUCACCACCAGCACCCGCACAUGCAUGUAUGUUUAUACAAACUGCAAGAAAGAACUCAUAAAAUAAAACGUAUCCUUAUCACAUGCA
Molecule: long non-coding RNA, 2314 nt
Organism: Marmota monax (woodchuck)
Lineage: Eukaryota; Metazoa; Chordata; Mammalia; Rodentia; Sciuridae
Exons: 2
Source: RefSeq, a predicted model, not a curated record